This 1081-nucleotide ribosomal RNA is filed under the name uncultured halophilic eubacterium. RNAcentral's name for it is "bacterial SSU rRNA". It matches the Rfam family "Bacterial small subunit ribosomal RNA", at positions 20 to 1092 of the family's 1533-position model. The record is from RNAcentral.
UGGCUCAGAUUGAACGCUGGCGGCAGGCCUAACACAUGCAAGUCGAGCGGAAACGAUCCUAGCUUGCUAGGAGGCGUCGAGCGGCGGACGGGUGAGUAAUGCAUAGGAAUCUGCCCGGUAGUGGGGGAUAACUUGAGGAAACUCAAGCUAAUACCGCAUACGCCCUACGGGGGAAAGCAGGGGCUCUUCGGACCUUGCGCUAUCGGAUGAGCUUAUGUCGGAUUAGCUGGUUGGUGAGGUAACGGCUCACCAAGGCGACGAUCCGUAGCUGGUCUGAGAGGAUGAUCAGCCACAUCGGGACUGAGACACGGCCCGAACUCCUACGGGAGGCAGCAGUGGGGAAUAUUGGACAAUGGGGGCAACCCUGAUCCAGCCAUGCCGCGUGUGUGAAGAAGGCCCUCGGGUUGUAAAGCACUUUCAGCGAGGAAGAAUGCUUGUCGGUUAAUACCCGGCAAGGGAGACAUCACUCGCAGAAGAAGCACCGGCUAACUCCGUGCCAGCAGCCGCGGUAAUACGGAGGGUGCGAGCGUUAAUCGGAAUUACUGGGCGUAAAGCGUGCGUAGGCGGCUUGAUAAGCCGGUUGUGAAAGCCCCGGGCUCAACCUGGGAACGGCAUCCGGAACUGUUAGGCUAGAGUGCAGGAGAGGAAGGUAGAAUUCCCGGUGUAGCGGUGAAAUGCGUAGAGAUCGGGAGGAAUACCAGUGGCGAAGGCGGCCUUCUGGACUGACACUGACGCUGAGGUACGAAAGCGUGGGUAGCAAACAGGAUUAGAUACCCUGGUAGUCCACGCCGUAAACGAUGUCGACUAGCCGUUGGGGUCCUCGAGACCUUUGUGGCGCAGUUAACGCACUAAGUCGACCGCCUGGGGAGUACGGCCGCAAGGUUAAAACUCAAAUGAAUUGACGGGGGCCCGCACAAGCGGUGGAGCAUGUGGUUUAAUUCGAUGCAACGCGAAGAACCUUACCUACCCUUGACAUCGUGCGAACUUUCCAGAGAUGGAUUGGUGCCUUCGGGAGCGCACAGACAGGUGCUGCAUGGCUGUCGUCAGCUCGUGUUGUGAAAUGUUGGGUUAAGUCCCGUAA